Molecule: ribosomal RNA, 786 nt
Filed under: uncultured bacterium
Lineage: Bacteria
Description: bacterial SSU rRNA
Rfam family: Bacterial small subunit ribosomal RNA
Source: RNAcentral
AGAGUUUGAUCAUGGCUCAGAAUGAACGCUGCGGCGUGCCUAACACAUGCAAGUCGAACGAGAAAGUCUCUUCGGAGAUGAGUACAGUGGCGGACGGGUGAGUAACGCGUGAGAAUUUACCCUUUAGUGAGGAAUAACUUCGAGAAAUUGAAGGUAAUACCGCAUAAGCCCCAAGGGGGAAAGGUGGCCUCAAGCUGCCGCUAAAGGAUAAGCUUGCGUACUAUUAGCUAGUUGGUAGGGUAAAGGCCUACCAAGGCGAUGAUGGUUAGCCGGCCUGAGAGGGUGUUCGGCCACAUUGGAACUUAGACACGGUCCAAACUCCUACGGGAGGCAGCAGUGAGGAAUAUUGCACAAUGGGCGAAAGCCUGAUGCAGCGACGCCGCGUGGAGGAUGAAGGUCUUAGGAUUGUAAACUCCUGUUAAGUGGGAAGAAAACUAUGUUUCUAAUAAAAAUGUAGAAUGACGGUACCACUAAAGAAAGCACCGGCUAACUUCGUGCCAGCAGCCGCGGUAAUACGAAGGGUGCUAGCGUUAUUCGGAAUUACUGGGCGUAAAGGGUAUGUAGGCGGUUUAUUAAGUCUGUUGUUAAAUCUCUCAGCCUAACUGGGAGUCGGCGAUAGAAACUGGUUCACUAGAGUGUGGGAGAGAGAGGUGGAAUUCUCGGAGUAGCGGUAAAAUGCGUAGAUCUCGAGAGGAACACCGAUGGCGAAGGCAGCCUCUUGGCCCACUACUGACGCUGAGAUACGAAAGCGUGGGGAGCAAACAGGAUUAGAUACCCUAGUAGUCC